Molecule: ribosomal RNA, 480 nt
Filed under: Triticum aestivum (bread wheat)
Lineage: Eukaryota; Viridiplantae; Streptophyta; Magnoliopsida; Poales; Poaceae
Description: partial small subunit ribosomal RNA
Source: RNAcentral
CCGCCGGUAGAGACCAUCCACCUGACGCCGUGGGAUCUCAAGUCUAUCACGGUGGAGCACAUCCAGAAGGGUGUCCUCCUGCCCAAGCCUCCCACUACUGGAGGACACGUCGACGUCGAGCGUCUAGCUUCUUCCUUUGGGCGCGCCCUUGGCCGCUUCUACCCAUACGCCGGGCGCCUCGACGCCGCCGUCGUGCCGUGCCAGAGCCUCACCAUUUCGCUCCGCUGCGGCGGCGAGGGCGCCGAGUUCAUCCACGCCGUGGCUCCCAGCGUCACCGUCGCCGACAUCACCGCCUCGCUCUUGGUUCCGCGGGUGGUGUGGUCCUUCUUCCCGCUCGACGGGCUGCUGGGUGCGGACGCCAUUGAGGGGUCGCUCCCGCUCCUGGCCGCACAGGUCACUGAGCUCGCCGACAGCGUCUUCAUCGCCGUUUCGAUGAACCACAGCGUCGCGGACGGUAUGACAUUCUGGCAAUUCUUCAAC